UAAAACAUCGGCCGGGUUUAUUUACGUAUUCUAAUUUCAUACGAUCCUUCAGUCAACAUUGUAAGUGUGGACUUUGUGACAUCUGACUGCUCAGAAGAAAUGGUUCGUAACAAUCGUAACCCAACCAAACGUAUAAUAGUCCGGUUGAACAGAAUGGAGCCUACUACUUUUCUAAUCUUUAUUGCUGGUCAUAUAUACAAGUCACGCAGUGAUUCCGGUCUUGGGGGAAAAAGAAAACGCUGCGAAGCAAUAAGAGUCACAGGUUAACCUGAAAUCUCGCCGCUUACAACAUUGUUUCGCCACACUGUCGAAUGACGGAGGGACGACUUGGUAUCCAUAACAUCCCAACAGUCUUCCUGAUCCCGGACCCCAUUCCCAUUUGUCUCAUCUGCCGUCAAUCAUCAUACCAUCCUUGUCCUGCCUCCACCAAUCAGAGGGCUCCACACCACCCCGGCUCCUCCAAUCAGUGGACAGCUUCACUUUUUAAAAACCUGGGCUUCCCGUUUUGGGUGCUCUCAUUUUGUUAGUCUGUCAUGAGCUUUUGCCGUACGUUUGAUUGUUGCUGGUGUUUAGUCUUUGUAUUGUACCGUUCCCUAGUGUGUUGACCAUUGUGUAUCUGGUUACCCUCUGUUUGUCUGUCCUGUUGUAUUCCGUGUGGCCACGCCAAGGCCUUGGGACUGGGUGGGACAGGUGCCUCUAUACACUAGCACAAGUAGUUUUGGGUACUUGUAAGGACACCUCAGGUUAGGAGUGGUUGCCACCUGCUGUUUCUGUUUGUUAGCUAGAGUAGGAAGUCAGGCUUUUGUUUUGUAAAUAUACUAGUUAGAUAGCCUUGUCCUACUUUUGAUUUUCAGACAGCUCUGUUUGGUUUUGUUGUUUUCUUUUCUUCAGCAACACUUGGGCUCCUUGACCUCGGUGGUGUGUCUUGUGCCUCAUUUUGUGUCUCGUAAAUAUUGUACAUAGCCGCUUGUAUUUUCACUUUUCCACUUUAAUCACAGUAAACACUUUUCACUUGGCA
Long non-coding RNA from Anguilla anguilla (European eel), 1018 nucleotides. RefSeq lists it as uncharacterized. NCBI's taxonomy places the organism in Eukaryota, Metazoa, Chordata, Actinopteri, Anguilliformes, Anguillidae. The transcript is spliced from 3 exons. The record is from RefSeq and is a predicted model, not a curated record.